AGGUUUGCGCGAGUUACCGUACCACCUUGACAUGGUGGGGGUCGUUGGUUCGAAUCCAAUCGUGCCUACCA
RNAcentral lists this transfer RNA (71 nucleotides) under Alteromonadaceae bacterium. RNAcentral's name for it is "tRNA-Val". It matches the Rfam family "tRNA". From Rfam's summary of the family: Transfer RNA (tRNA) molecules are approximately 80 nucleotides in length. Their secondary structure includes four short double-helical elements and three loops (D, anti-codon, and T loops). Further hydrogen bonds mediate the characteristic L-shaped molecular structure. tRNAs have two regions of fundamental functional importance: the anti-codon, which is responsible for specific mRNA codon recognition, and the 3' end, to which the tRNAs corresponding amino acid is attached (by aminoacyl-tRNA synthetases). tRNAs cope with the degeneracy of the genetic code in two manners: having more than one tRNA (with a specific anti-codon) for a particular amino acid; and 'wobble' base-pairing, i.e. permitting non-standard base-pairing at the 3rd anti-codon position. The record is from RNAcentral. RNAcentral also lists the same sequence under 1 other name. Lineage: Bacteria; Pseudomonadati; Pseudomonadota; Gammaproteobacteria; Alteromonadales; Alteromonadaceae.